Molecule: ribosomal RNA, 995 nt
Filed under: uncultured organism
Description: bacterial SSU rRNA
Rfam family: Bacterial small subunit ribosomal RNA
Source: RNAcentral
UGGGGAAUAUUGCACAAUGGGGGAAACCCUGAUGCAGCGACGCCGCGUGGAGGAAGAAGGUCUUCGGAUUGUAAACUCCUGUUGUUGGGGAAGAUAAUGACGGUACCCAACAAGGAAGUGACGGCUAACUACGUGCCAGCAGCCGCGGUAAAACGUAGGUCACAAGCGUUGUCCGGAAUUACUGGGUGUAAAGGGAGCGCAGGCGGGAAGACAAGUUGGAAGUGAAAUCUAUGGGCUCAACCCAUAAACUGCUUUCAAAACUGUUUUUCUUGAGUAGUGCAGAGGUAGGCGGAAUUCCCGGUGUAGCGGUGGAAUGCGUAGAUAUCGGGAGGAACACCAGUGGCGAAGGCGGCCUACUGGGCACCAACUGACGCUGAGGCUCGAAAGUGUGGGUAGCAAACAGGAUUAGAUACCCUGGUAGUCCACACCGUAAACGAUGAUUACUAGGUGUUGGAGGAUUGACCCCUUCAGUGCCGCAGUUAACACAAUAAGUAAUCCACCUGGGGAGUACGACCGCAAGGUUGAAACUCAAAGGAAUUGACGGGGGCCCGCACAAGCAGUGGAGUAUGUGGUUUAAUUCGACGCAACGCGAAGAACCUUACCAGGUCUUGACAUCCCUUGACAGACAUAGAAAUAUGUAAUCUCUUCGGAGCAAGGAGACAGGUGGUGCAUGGUUGUCGUCAGCUCGUGUCGUGAGAUGUUGGGUUAAGUCCCGCAACGAGCGCAACCCUUAUGGUCAGUUACUACGCAAGAGGACUCUGGCCAGACUGCCGUUGACAAAACGGAGGAAGGUGGGGAUGACGUCAAAUCAUCAUGCCCUUUAUGACUUGGGCUACACACGUACUACAAUGGCGUUAAACAAAGAGAAGCAAGACCGCGAGGUGGAGCAAAACUCAGAAACAACGUCCCAGUUCGGACUGCAGGCUGCAACUCGCCUGCACGAAGUCGGAAUUGCUAGUAAUCGUGGAUCAGCAUGCCACGGUGAAUACGUUCCC